This 329-nucleotide ribosomal RNA is filed under the name uncultured eukaryote. RNAcentral's name for it is "partial 18S ribosomal RNA". It matches the Rfam family "Eukaryotic small subunit ribosomal RNA", at positions 1470 to 1796 of the family's 1831-position model. The record is from RNAcentral.
CCCUUAGAUGUUCUGGGCCGCACGCGCGCUACACUGAUGCAUUCAACGAGUCUAAAACCUGCUCUGAUAGGGGUGGGUAAUCUUUUGAAUGUGCACCGUGAUUGGGAUAGAUGAUUGCAAUUUUUCAUCUUCAACGAGGAAUGCCUAGUAAACGCAAGUCAUCAGCUUGCAUUGAUUACGUUCCUGCCCUUUGUACACACCGCCCGUCGCUCCUACCGAUUGAAUGAUCCGAUGAAUAUCAUGGAUUGAGGAUGCAAGUAGGUUAGCCUAUCUUCAUCUUCGAGAAGUGAAGUAAAUCUUAUCAUUUAGAGGAAGGAGAAGUCGUAACA